RNAcentral lists this ribosomal RNA (465 nucleotides) under uncultured Klebsiella sp. Its description in RNAcentral is "bacterial SSU rRNA". It matches the Rfam family "Bacterial small subunit ribosomal RNA", at positions 338 to 795 of the family's 1533-position model. The record is from RNAcentral. Lineage: Bacteria; Pseudomonadati; Pseudomonadota; Gammaproteobacteria; Enterobacterales; Enterobacteriaceae.
CCUACGGGAGGCUGCAGUGGGGAAUAUUGCACAAUGGGCGCAAGCCUGAUGCAGCCAUGCCGCGUGUGUGAAGAAGGCCUUCGGGUUGUAAAGCACUUUCAGCGGGGAGGAAGGCGUUAAGGUUAAUAACCUUGUCGAUUGACGUUACCCGCAGAAGAAGCACCGGCUAACUCCGUGCCAGCAGCCGCGGUAAUACGGAGGGUGCAAGCGUUAAUCGGAAUUACUGGGCGUAAAGCGCACGCAGGCGGUCUGUCAAGUCGGAUGUGAAAUCCCCGGGCUCAACCUGGGAACUGCAUUCGAAACUGGCAGGCUAGAGUCUUGUAGAGGGGGGUAGAAUUCCAGGUGUAGCGGUGAAAUGCGUAGAGAUCUGGAGGAAUACCGGUGGCGAAGGCGGCCCCCUGGACAAAGACUGACGCUCAGGUGCGAAAGCGUGGGGAGCAGACAGGAUUAGAUACCCUAGUAGUC